AAUAGAUACCCAGGUAGUCCACCCCGUAAACGUUGGGAACUAGUUGUGGGGUCCUUUCCACGGAUUCCGUGACGCAGCUAACGCAUUAAGUUCCCCGCCUGGGGAGUACGGCCGCAAGGCUAAAACUCAAAGGAAUUGACGGGGACCCGCACAAGCGGCGGAGCAUGCGGAUUAAUUCGAUGCAACGCGAAGAACCUUACCAAGGCUUGACAUACACCGGAAACGGCCAGAGAUGGUCGCCCCGCAAGGUCGGUGUACAGGUGGUGCAUGGUUGUCGUCAGCUCGUGUCGUGAGAUGUUGGGUUAAGUCCCGCAACGAGCGCAACCCUCGUUCUAUGUUGCCAGCACGUGAUGGUGGGAACUCAUGGAAUACUGCCGGGUCAACUCGGAGGAGGUGGGAUGACGUCAAUCAUCAUGCCCGUUAUGUCUUGGGCUUCACGCAUGCUACAUGGCCGGUACAAGGGCUGCAAUACCGUGAGGUGGGCGAAUCCCGAAAAGCCGGUCCAGUUCGGAUUGAGGUCUGCACUCGACCUCAUGGUAA
RNAcentral lists this ribosomal RNA (540 nucleotides) under uncultured bacterium. Its description in RNAcentral is "bacterial SSU rRNA". It matches the Rfam family "Bacterial small subunit ribosomal RNA", at positions 777 to 1326 of the family's 1533-position model. The record is from RNAcentral.